RNAcentral lists this ribosomal RNA (253 nucleotides) under uncultured bacterium. RNAcentral describes it as "partial 16S ribosomal RNA". It matches the Rfam family "Bacterial small subunit ribosomal RNA", at positions 524 to 776 of the family's 1533-position model. The record is from RNAcentral.
UACGGAGGGGACUAGCGUUGUUCGGAAUUACUGGGCGUAAAGCGCACGUAGGCGGAUUUGUAAGUCAGGGGUGAAAUCCCGGGGCUCAACCUCGGAACUGCCUUUGAUACUGCAAGUCUUGAGUCCGGAAGAGGUGAGUGGAAUUCCUAGUGUAGAGGUGAAAUUCGUAGAUAUUAGGAAGAACACCGGUGGCGAAGGCGGCCAACUGGACCACAACUGACGCUGAGGCGCGAAAGCGUGGGGAGCAAACAGG